Molecule: long non-coding RNA, 199 nt
Filed under: Elaeis guineensis (African oil palm)
Lineage: Eukaryota; Viridiplantae; Streptophyta; Magnoliopsida; Arecales; Arecaceae
Description: long non-coding RNA (EGUI_LNC063316)
Source: RNAcentral
CUGAGAUCAUCAUGGUGACUUGCAAGCAACUCACUGUGCUUUGGUGCCAAACUAUCUAAAUCUCUAAUUCUAGAUCGAAAGAUUUUUGGAUACAGUCAAGUACUUGUGAAGUCGAUGCAUGAGUCAAAAUGAAAUUGACCACUCUAAGAGAUUGGAGAGAAUGAUUUGUAUUUCAAUUUAGUAAGAUCUUGGCCAGGGC